Long non-coding RNA from Beta vulgaris subsp. vulgaris (sugar beet), 948 nucleotides. RefSeq lists it as uncharacterized. The record is from RefSeq and is a predicted model, not a curated record. The transcript is spliced from 3 exons. Lineage: Eukaryota; Viridiplantae; Streptophyta; Magnoliopsida; Caryophyllales; Amaranthaceae.
AAAAAACUGUAACAAACCAAAAAAAAAAUCCCUAAAUAAAAGAGGAAAAAACUGCAACAACACAAGGCAGUUUGAUAAAAUCCUUCGUUCUUCCACUUCUCCAUCUUAUUCUCACAACUCCCCCCUUCAAUUCUAAAAGCACCACAAAAUAGCCAAAACUCAAAUCAGAAUGUCUAUUAUUCAACCAAGAUAAGGUAAUUACAAAUGAUUUGUUCAUAACAAUCCUUAUACAGUUUAAUUUGAAAUAACGAUUCUUUUCUCGGUGUGAAUUUUAUAUAGGGUCUUCACAAGCAUUGCAAUCAGCAAUUGUUAUUUCUCUCUCACACAAUUCUUUCUGUCAGUAAUAAUAUUUGCUAACCCAAAUUCAUUGAAUUGAUAGCGAUUUUUGUGUGUAAUUUUACAAGACAAGACUAGAGAGAAAGUACCCGACCAAGUAUCUCAUACAAAUAUCAUCAAGAAAGGCACUUGGAAGGUGAAGAGAAAUAAACUCCAGUGUGGCAAACUACUGGUCAGGCACUUCCCCCUGACAUGUACACACAUAAAAUUUGGUUCUUGAAUGGGCGGUGAUCGAGAUGGAAAUCCUAAUGUGACUGCCAAGCCAAAUGGACGCAAACGAGUCAUAUAGAUAGUAUUCUCAAAGCUUGGAUACAAAACCUUCGCUUAGAUGUUACCUCCACCGAUGCAAGAAUUCAAUCCGGAUCAUUCUUAUACUGUUAGCUAUGUGCUGCAGGUCGACUGGACUGAAGAGGGCAUGUGUUUAACCAAGUUCUAUGAAGGCAAAUUCCAUAAUUGAAACACCAGAGAUUUUAUUUACUACCUUUGUUAUUGUAUUGUUACAUUGUGAAUAUAUUUUUCCUCGGUAAAUUUUGUAAAUAAUUUUUCUAUGAAUUAAUACUAGAUGUAAUUACGCAACUAAUUUAAUUCCAAUAACGAUUUCAGUUGUAUAUA